GGAAGAGAAAUAUAACACUAGAUAGUUCAUGUAUUAUGUGAUGACAGCCUAAAGCCUUCUGGAUGCACCAAUACCAUAGCACACAGACUCAGGUGCAGCAUAAGGAAUUCCUGGCUGAGCAGAAAAUGAUCAGUGCUAUUGCUUCUUCCCAACUCUUUCUAUGCUGUGUAAAAUUAUGACUUUUCUCUUGACUUUUGAGGUGAUCGCUGCUGGAACUUUACAAGCCAUCUUCAUGAAGCUUUGAUGCAAAAGAAAGUUGAAACCUAUUAUAAGCUACCAAGUUGAGAAGGGAGAUGAAAUGCCACCACUCAUCAAAGCCAUUGAGAAUUGUACAAUUUGAAAGGGUGUUUGGCUGAAUUCAACACAAUUCUGGAAUACAAGAAAAAUUAAGGACACUAUCAAAUAGUUUUUCUGCAAAAUUAUGGGAUGGAUCUAUGUUGUAGAACACUGGUAUCACCAUCUGUCCUUGGGUUUUUUGUUUUUCUUACUUCACCAGAAAAAAGACCGAGGACUGAUUGUGAUACCAGUGUUGUGCAACGUAGGUCUAUCCCAUGCAAGAAAGCAGACAGGGACCACCAGCAAGCCUUUGCAAGACAUUAGGGAGAACAGGGUGCACCAAAUGGAAAGUUGUUCUCACUGAAGUAGCCAAUUUAACUCUAAGUUGAAACCUGUAUAGACUACCAAAUUGAAAAGGAAGAUGAAAUGUCACCUGCACUCAUUGAAGCCAUUGAAAAUUCUCAUGUAUCUAUUAUCACCUUCUCAUGGAACUAUGAUUCCUCUAAGUGGUUCUUGGUUGAACUUAACAAGAUUUUAGAAUGCAACAAAGACCAAGGACACUGUACAAUGUGUAGGUCAUUCCUGCAUUCUUGAAUCUUGCUGAGUUACUAAGGAGGCAAGGACAAAUUGUGAUACUAGUGUUCUACAACAUAGAUCCAUCCUAUGUGAUAAAGCAGACUAGAAGCUAUAAGCAAUCAUAUGAAAAUCAUGAGGGAGAACCGAGGUGAAACAAAUGGAAAGCUGCUCUCGCAGAAGUAGUCAAUAUAAUAUCUGGGUAGAACUAUCAAAUAGGUAAAUAAAAUGAAUUGAGUGGGUAAAUUUUCUUCAAAAAAAAUAAAACAAGAUAAUGUAUUGUUUUAAAUUUAGUUGGCAAAAUUUUAUGCAAAAUUCAACAAGAUAAGGAUGAUAAAAUUAUGAUACAGAAGUUAAUAGUGAUAGAGACUAUAGUUGUUUCCUUCUUUUGUGUACGCUCGUGCAAUUCAAUUGCUGCUUUGCAGUGAAGUUUCAUUAUCCAUAA
Long non-coding RNA from Cajanus cajan (pigeon pea), 1294 nucleotides. RefSeq lists it as uncharacterized. The record is from RefSeq and is a predicted model, not a curated record. Lineage: Eukaryota; Viridiplantae; Streptophyta; Magnoliopsida; Fabales; Fabaceae.